RNAcentral lists this unclassified non-coding RNA (269 nucleotides) under Asterostroma cervicolor. RNAcentral's name for it is "partial internal transcribed spacer region". The stretch from base 1 to 46 matches the Rfam family "Eukaryotic small subunit ribosomal RNA", at positions 1786 to 1831 of the family's 1831-position model. The record is from RNAcentral. Lineage: Eukaryota; Fungi; Basidiomycota; Agaricomycetes; Russulales; Lachnocladiaceae.
AAGUCGUAACAAGGUUUCCGUAGGUGAACCUGCGGAAGGAUCAUUACAGAUAUACAUUAAAAUAUAUCUUCCAACCCCCCUUCAUUGUGAACUUUUGGUGCAAGUCAAGCUAAAAGCCCCUAUCUAGAUAGGGGCAUUGCCCCUAUUUCAUAGGGGUAGUAUAUUGGCCUUGCAAUCCAAUUUUUUUCAUAUACACAUCUAUUACAAAUGUAUAUAUGCAUGAUCUAUAAAAUAAAACAUAACUUUCAGCAACGGAUCUCUUGGCUCUC